UACAGAGGUCCCGAGCGUUGUUCGGAUUCAUUGGGCGUAAAGGGUGCGUAGGCGGCGGGGUAAGUUUGAUGUGAAAUCCCGGGGCUCAACCCUGGAAUUGCAUUUGAAUACUACCUUGCUAGAGUACCGGAGAGGAAACUGGAAUUUACGGUGUAGCAGUGAAAUGCGUAGAGAUCGUAAGGAAGACCAGUGGCGAAGGCGAUCAUCUGGGGUUGUUCUGACACUGAGGAGCGAAAGGCUAAGGGGAGCAAACGGG
This 256-nucleotide ribosomal RNA is filed under the name uncultured bacterium. RNAcentral's name for it is "partial 16S ribosomal RNA". It matches the Rfam family "Bacterial small subunit ribosomal RNA", at positions 524 to 776 of the family's 1533-position model. The record is from RNAcentral.